This 1372-nucleotide ribosomal RNA is filed under the name uncultured bacterium. RNAcentral's name for it is "bacterial SSU rRNA". It matches the Rfam family "Bacterial small subunit ribosomal RNA", at positions 28 to 1381 of the family's 1533-position model. The record is from RNAcentral.
GAUGAACGCUGGCGGCGUGCCUAAUACAUGCAAGUCGAGCGAACGGACGAGAAGCUUGCUUCUCUGAUGUUAGCGGCGGACGGGUGAGUAACACGUGGAUAACCUACCUAUAAGACUGGGAUAACUUCGGGAAACCGGAGCUAAUACCGGAUAAUAUUUUGAACCGCAUGGUUCAAAAGUGAAAGACGGUCUUGCUGUCACUUAUAGAUGGAUCCGCGCUGCAUUAGCUAGUUGGUAAGGUAACGGCUUACCAAGGCAACGAUGCAUAGCCGACCUGAGAGGGUGAUCGGCCACACUGGAACUGAGACACGGUCCAGACUCCUACGGGAGGCAGCAGUAGGGAAUCUUCCGCAAUGGGCGAAAGCCUGACGGAGCAACGCCGCGUGAGUGAUGAAGGUCUUCGGAUCGUAAAACUCUGUUAUUAGGGAAGAACAUAUGUGUAAGUAACUGUGCACAUCUUGACGGUACCUAAUCAGAAAGCCACGGCUAACUACGUGCCAGCAGCCGCGGUAAUACGUAGGUGGCAAGCGUUAUCCGGAAUUAUUGGGCGUAAAGCGCGCGUAGGCGGUUUUUUAAGUCUGAUGUGAAAGCCCACGGCUCAACCGUGGAGGGUCAUUGGAAACUGGAAAACUUGGGUGCAGAAGAGGAAAGUGGAAUUCCAUGUGUAGCGGUGAAAUGCGCAGAGAUAUGGAGGAACACCAGUGGCGAAGGCGACUUUCUGGUCUGUAACUGACGCUGAUGUGCGAAAGCGUGGGGAUCAAACAGGAUUAGAUACCCUGGUAGUCCACGCCGUAAACGAUGAGUGCUAAGUGUUAGGGGGUUUCCGCCCCUUAGUGCUGCAGCUAACGCAUUAAGCACUCCGCCUGGGGAGUACGACCGCAAGGUUGAAACUCAAAGGAAUUGACGGGGACCCGCACAAGCGGUGGAGCAUGUGGUUUAAUUCGAAGCAACGCGAAGAACCUUACCAAAUCUUGACAUCCUUUGACAACUCUAGAGAUAGAGCCUUCCCCUUCGGGGGACAAAGUGACAGGUGGUGCAUGGUUGUCGUCAGCUCGUGUCGUGAGAUGUUGGGUUAAGUCCCGCAACGAGCGCAACCCUUAAGCUUAGUUGCCAUCACUAAGUUGGGCACUCUAAGUUGACUGCCGGUGACAAACCGGAGGAAGGUGGGGAUGACGUCAAAUCAUCAUGCCCCUUACGAUUUGGGCUACACACGUGCUACAAUGGACAAUACAAAGGGCAGCGAAACCGCGAGGUCAAGCAAAUCCCAUAAAGUUGUUCUCAGUUCGGAUUGUAGUCUGCAACUCGACUACAUGAAGCUGGAAUCGCUAGUAAUCGUAGAUCAGCAUGCUACGGUGAAUACGUUCCCGGGUCU